Molecule: non-coding RNA, 46 nt
Organism: Schistosoma mansoni
Lineage: Eukaryota; Metazoa; Platyhelminthes; Trematoda; Strigeidida; Schistosomatidae
Source: Rfam
GCACUGCUGAGGAGUCCCAUAAUAGGACGAAACGGCCGUUCACUGC